RNAcentral lists this ribosomal RNA (466 nucleotides) under uncultured bacterium. RNAcentral describes it as "partial 16S ribosomal RNA". It matches the Rfam family "Bacterial small subunit ribosomal RNA", at positions 28 to 507 of the family's 1533-position model. The record is from RNAcentral.
GAUGAACGCUGGCGGCGUGCUUAACACAUGCAAGUCGAACGGUGAAGCCAAGCUUGCUUGGUGGAUCAGUGGCGAACGGGUGAGUAACACGUGAGCAACCUGCCCUGGACUCUGGGAUAAGCGCUGGAAACGGCGUCUAAUACUGGAUAUGAGCCUCUUCCGCAUGGUGGGGGUUGGAAAGAUUUUUUGGUCUGGGAUGGGCUCGCGGCCUAUCAGCUUGUUGGUGAGGUAAUGGCUCACCAAGGCGUCGACGGGUAGCCGGCCUGAGAGGGUGACCGGCCACACUGGGACUGAGACACGGCCCAGACUCCUACGGGAGGCAGCAGUGAGGAAUAUUGCACAAUGGGCGAAAGCCUGAUGCAGCAACGCCGCGUGAGGGAUGACGGCCUUCGGGUUGUAAACCUCUUUUAGCAGGGAAGAAGCGAAAGUGACGGUACCUGCAGAAAAAGCGCCGGCUAACUACGUG